AUUGAACGCUGGCGGCAUGCCUUACACAUGCAAGUCGAACGGCAGCACGGGUGCUUGCACCUGGUGGCGAGUGGCGAACGGGUGAGUAAUACAUCGGAACGUACCUUAUCGUGGGGGAUAACGCAGCGAAAGCUGUGCUAAUACCGCAUACGCCCUGAGGGGGAAAGCGGAGCAACGCAAGACCCCGCCGGACUCGAGCGGCCCAUGCCUGUUUAGCUUGUUGGGGGGGUAAAAGCCCACCAAGGCGACGAUCAGUAGCUGGUCUGAGAGGACGAUCAGCCACACUGGGACUGAGACACGGCCCAGACUCCUACGGGAGGCAGCAGUGGGGAAUUUUGGACAAUGGGGGCAACCCUGAUCCAGCAAUGCCGCGUGAGUGAAGAAGGCCUUCGGGUUGUAAAGCUCUUUUGUCAGGGAAGAAACACCGGCUCUAACACAGUCCGGGAAUGACGGUACCUGAAGAAUAAGCACCGGCUAACUACGUGCCAGCCGCCGCAGUAA
This 501-nucleotide ribosomal RNA is filed under the name uncultured bacterium. RNAcentral describes it as "partial 16S ribosomal RNA". It matches the Rfam family "Bacterial small subunit ribosomal RNA", at positions 29 to 523 of the family's 1533-position model. The record is from RNAcentral.